UAGAUCCGUUAAAGCGGCGGACUGGUGAGUACGCGUGGGUGACCUACCUUAACGUUGGGGAUAGCCGUUAGAAAUAGCGGGUAAUACCGCAAUACGAUCGCAGUGACUAUGGUUUUGUGACUGAAAGUGAGCUUUGGCUCCGACCUUAGGAUGGAGCCCGCGUUCCCAUUAGCUAGUUGGCGGUGUAAAUGACCACCAAGGCGAAGAUGGGUAGCACGGCCUAAGAGGGUGAACGGCCACAUUGGGACUGAGAUACGUGACCAGACUCCUACGGGAGGCAGCAGCUAAGACUAUUACCACAAUGGACGAGAAGUCUGAUGGAGCGACGCCGCGUGGAUGAGGAAGGCCGCAAAGGUUGUACAAAUCCUUAUUGCGAAUGACACGAAUAAGCGGUGGAGGGAAUGCCAUCGCUGAUGACGUUAGCUCUCCGCGAAUAAGCCCCGAGCAUAAUUACGU
This 456-nucleotide ribosomal RNA is filed under the name uncultured bacterium. RNAcentral describes it as "bacterial SSU rRNA". It matches the Rfam family "Bacterial small subunit ribosomal RNA", at positions 81 to 506 of the family's 1533-position model. The record is from RNAcentral.